Molecule: ribosomal RNA, 244 nt
Filed under: uncultured bacterium
Lineage: Bacteria
Description: partial 16S ribosomal RNA
Rfam family: Bacterial small subunit ribosomal RNA
Source: RNAcentral
CGUGAGUGGCGGACGGGUGAGUAACGCGUGGGUAACCUGCCUCAUACAGGGGGAUAACAGUUAGAAAUGACUGCUAAUACCGCAUAAGACCACAGUACCGCAUGGUACAGGGGUAAAAACUCCGGUGGUAUGAGAUGGACCCGCGUCUGAUUAGCUAGUUGGUAAGGUAACGGCUUACCAAGGCGACGAUCAGUAGCCGACCUGAGAGGGUGACCGGCCACAUUGGGACUGAGACACGGCCCAA